AUACGUAGGUGGCAAGCGUUGUCCGGAUUUAGUUGGGCGUAAAGCGAGCGCAGGUCGGUUUUUUAAGUUCUGAUGUGAAAGCCUUCGGCUUAACCGGAGAAGUGCAUCGGAAACUGGGAGACUUGAGUGCAGAAGAGGACAGUGGAACUCCAUGUGUAGCGGUGGAAUGCGUAGAUAUAUGGAAGAACACCAGUGGCGAAGGCGGCUGUCUAGUCUGUAACUGACGCUGAGGCUCGAAAGCAUGGGUAGC
This 250-nucleotide ribosomal RNA is filed under the name uncultured bacterium. Its description in RNAcentral is "partial 16S ribosomal RNA". It matches the Rfam family "Bacterial small subunit ribosomal RNA", at positions 523 to 769 of the family's 1533-position model. The record is from RNAcentral.